Molecule: long non-coding RNA, 2681 nt
Organism: Aegilops tauschii subsp. strangulata
Lineage: Eukaryota; Viridiplantae; Streptophyta; Magnoliopsida; Poales; Poaceae
Source: RefSeq, a predicted model, not a curated record
CUGCCCCUCCCUUGGCCUAGUUCAUUCUGGAAACCCUCGCCGCCACCCGGUUUGGGAGAAAACGCCAAUAGCGACGGCUGCAUCGGGUGCUUGCGGCGGUGCUAGUUCUUCGCCGUCGACAAGCAGGGGAUGGAAGCUACGGGUUCCCAUUGAGAGAGGAGUUCGAUGAAAGCCUUGAACAGCCAGAUCCGAUUCCCCUCCUCGUCCUGCUAGAGAACGGGGCUAGAAAUGCGGACCCUGGUGAUUCAAAUGUUGGGCCUGGGAUCGGUCAGAAGGUGGGAGACGAUGCCACAGGUGGAGCGGGUGAAGGUUUGCGCCGUCGGCGUGAUGCAUCUCCGACGAGGUCGGCCCAGUUGACCGACAAAGCAAAUCCAGAGGCCCCUGGCCGGUCUAAAAGGCUUCGUCUAGGCAGUGCGCCACCAAACAGAGCAAUCAUGUCCCUCCCGGAUAAGCGCUCUGGAGCAGUCAAUCCACAAGUAUGUAGAGCAAACUGACAAGAGUGUAAUACGGCCUGACAAAGGUUGUGAACCAUGGGAGAGAAGGUGCACUGGCCAUCUCAUUAGCACAUUGACGUUUACACCAAGGAUUUGUUAAAGCAGCAGAGAGAAAACAUUGUGAACCUGGGGGAAGUCUAUAUUAUAAUUGGUAGCUUUUUUGGUUGCAUUGAGAAGGUGCCAUUCAUGAAAAGGACUCUUAGUAAUAUUUGUGGAAAGAUUAGUCGUGAACAAGCUGUGGAUGAUGUAAGGAAGACGCUGGAGGUGUUUGCUGACAUCCGUUCUACUGACCCUGGCUUCACCUAUGUGGUUUUGACUGACAAGUCCAUCAAGGUUAAAAGUCUCAUGUGGGCUAAUGGGAGCAGCAAAAUGCAAUACAAGUUAUUUGGUGAUGUGGUCACAUUCGACACUACAUACAGGAUAAACCUUUAUGACAUGCCGUUUAGGUUAUUGUCGGAGUUAACAACCAUUUUCAGAUCAUUAUUCUGGCAGGGGUGUUGAUGCGGGAUGAACAAGAAGAAAGCUUUCAAUGGGUUUUCGCGGAUGAUGGGAGGCCGUGCCCCAAAGAGAAUACUCACAGACCAAUGCAGGGCUAUGGAGAUGUCGAUCAGUAAGAUUUAUCCAGCUACUGUUCACCGGUGGUGCAGGUGGCAUGUUCUGAAGAAAGCGAAGGAAACCCUGGGACUGCUAUACACGAAGAAGAGCGACUUCCAGGCUGAAUUUCAAAAGGUUGUGAACCACAUGCUAACUCAAGAUGAGUUUGAGGCGGCUUGGGGCUUGUUGUUGGAUAAAUGUAAUCUGAGGAAGCACACGUACAUGACCCAAAUAUAUGAAACCAGGAAAAAGUGGGCACAACCGUACUUCAAGGGUGUGUUUUGCGCAAAAAUAAUGAGCACCCAACGCACUAAGAGUGCAAACCAUGUGUUGAAGAGAUGUGCAUGCCUCCUGCUAGCCCAAUGCAUGUUUUCGUAGGCAGUACAUGAGGUUGCAAUUUGACCGCGAGGGUGAGGAAAGCUACGAGGAAAAGAGGACAAUGAUUGGCGGAGCCGUAAGGAGAACCAACCUUUGCAAUAGAGUGGCACACAAGCAAAAUCUACACUAGAAAUAUGUUUGAGGAAUUUGGCCACCUCCUAAUUGAAGGGAUGGCAUACAAUGUCACUGAAGUGGAGAGGUUCAGGAAAUAUAUAAUAACUCACAACAAUGCAGCAAAAAGAGAAAAAUGGAGCAGGGUUGAGUACGAGGUGACCAUAAACGAGACCAAUCAGUAUUCACUUGCGAGUGUGGCCAGUUUGAGCACACUGGGAUGUUGUGCAGCCAUGUCUUGAGGGUCAUGGAUAUACUUCAUCUGGAGGAAAUCUCUAAGCACCAUAUUGUCGAGCGGUGGACAAAAGAGGCAAGAGAUAUACUUCUGAAGCACUUGGUUCAGUACCAGAAAGACAAUUCAGCAAACUUGUCAUUCACAUGCAGAAGCGCGAAGCUAUACCUUAAAGCCAUGGAAGUCAUGCGGAUGGGCGAUGCAAGUGCUGCAUCUUUUGAUCACAUGUAUGCUGGUCUCGAAGCUCUGCUAGUGAGUGGAGCACCAUUGGCAGAGAAGAGGGAUGGGUUGGCAUUUGAGGACCGUUUGGAUGGAACGGUAGGUGGAAGACUGCAAGGCAACGUCGAGAUUGCUUUUGUUGAAGGACACGAUGGUGCUGACCAGUGCCAUAGUGGUGGGCAAUCUGUUAGUGUGAAUGCCCUCCAGGGCUUGGAGCUCCAAACAAGCAUAGGGGGCCGGAAGGCCAACAAACAACAGGGGGAAGGCACCUUAUGAAGGUCUAAGUAAACGAACCAGAUUCUGCAGCAUUUGUCGUCACGAAGGUCAUGAAAAGACCACGUGCCAGAGAGAGGGGUUGUGCCAAAAAACCCGGUGAAACCUAGGAAGUGCAAGAACUGCGGGAUAGAAGGCCAUCAACGAAAUACAUGCAAGAGGCCACUGGGUGUUGAUGAGAACUGAGCUAUGAAUUUUCAGUUUGUAAUGCGUGUUGUUGUUUAAUCUGGGGAUUUUCUAGUGUGUUUCAGUUGAGCACUGCUCCACGCUUGUACCUCAAUCUGCAGGGGCGUGUUUCAUGAUGUAUCUGAUAGCAACUGAUAUUUCUAUAGUUGUCUGAACUCUGUUCGAUUAGCAUAUUUGCUUAAAUAUCGUUUUGU